GAUAAAACAGCAGACUCACAACUGCACAAUUAGUAAAAGAAUAAUUGAGAACAUCAUUGAUGAUUGCUAAGCCAAGAACAAUACCCAAAAAAAAUAUAAGAUAUUCUACUAAUAUACUGCUCAAAGGAAAUGGAAUUUAGCUACAUGGAAUGCCUAACAGCAGAACUAUAAAUAAAUUACCCAUAAAAUUUUUCUAGCUUCUUCACUGAUGUUAGGAACACAAAUACACACACAUAGACAGAGAGGAAAAGAUAUGAAGACAGGGAGGCUUAAUCCAGUAUUGAAAGGAAAACUGAUAAGCUUACAAAUUUGCACAAUUUGCAAUGCUAAUGGGUGGGUGGGUAAACCAUAAAUAUUUCCAAGACUUUUUACUCAAUGUGUUUCCAACAAU
RNAcentral lists this unclassified non-coding RNA (391 nucleotides) under Hevea brasiliensis (rubber tree). Lineage: Eukaryota; Viridiplantae; Streptophyta; Magnoliopsida; Malpighiales; Euphorbiaceae. The record is from RNAcentral.